CUUUUUUUUAGGGCCACACCCUCGGCUUAUGGAAGUUCCCAGGUUAGGGGUCAAAUCAGAGCUAGAGCUGCCAGCCUACACCAGAGCCACAGCAACAUGGGAUCCGAGCCGCAUCUGCGACCUACCCAGUUCAUGCCAACGCCAGAUCCUUAACCCACUGAGUGGGGCCAGGGAUCAAACCUGCAUCCUCAAGGAUACUAGUCGGGUUCUUAACCUGCACAAAGUCUCACCUGCAGCCUUCCUUCCUACAUGAGUAAAAAUCUUCAGCCACCCAGAGAGGGGCAAAAGACCCUGGUGCAGGUGUUUAGGAAAAGCCGAAAUUGGACGGCAGACCAGGAACAUAAAGAAAGACCCUUCUAGUAUUUCAGACCCAAGCACAUGAAAAGCCUGGAGAAAUUUGACAGCACUAAUGCACUGAAGGUAAGCAGAGCCAUGGAAAAACCCAGAUCCAUCUCAACUCCUAACUCUAUCCUGAUUUUGAUACCAAUUCCAAUGAGAGAGAGGGUGAAGCCAAGGGCAGGGGAAAUUCCAUUUCUCUGACAUCAGCUGGGUGUCCUGUAAUUCAGUUUUGACACUUUCUAUCUAAAGAGCACAUCAAAUCCCAUGUUUUAAGGGCUCAAUCCCACUGGCUAAAUGGCUACUAAAAUGGGAUGACACUUUUAAGUAUUUAAAGGAAAAAAAAAAAAAAAACUUGUCAACCAAGAAUUCUAUAGCCAGGGACAAUAUCAUUAAGCAGACCAAACAAGCUAGAAAUUGCAAUUCUGGUGAUUUAUCCCAGAGAAAUUAAACAUUUACAACAAGGAGGGGGAGAGAGAGAGAUGGACGGGGAGUUUAGGGUUAGCAGAUACAAACCAUUACACUUAGAAUGGAUAAGCAAUGGGGUCGUACUGCACAGCACAGGGAACUGUAUCCAGUCUCUUGGGAUAGACCACGAUGGAGGAUAACAUGAGAAAAAGAAUGUAUAUAUACGUAGGACUGGGUCACUUUGCUGUACAGCAGAAAUUGGCACGACACUGUAAACCAACUAUAAUUUUAAAAAAUAAAGAAAAAAAUUAAAAUUUGCAUCCAAAGAUCUCCCCCCAAGUAUCAUGUGUGAGCCCACAACACCCCAACCUUUGUCUCUCCUCCCUGAGUGUGAAUAACACUGAGAUCACCUCCUAGAGCUGGUUUUGACCUUCAGCUGCAGUGGCUGUGCUGCCACGUGUGCAUAGGUAGGACGUUGUACCCUGCACCCACCCACCUUUGGGUCCUCAGUUUGGUCCCCUUCCCAGCUACCCCUUUACAGGAUGACGAGGUAACAAAUGAUGACCUGCCCAAAACAAAACAUGGCUGUUUAAUCUCUUGCUAGACAUUGCCCCUCGUGGCACAAUGGAAAAAAUGUAUGCUCAUACAAAAAAUUGCACACCAAUGUUCUUGGGAAUAGCCACGCACCCUAGGACCCCCAUAUAGAGGUGCAACUUGAAGCCCUGGCAGGAACAAAGGGCAAACUCAGACCUGGAAAAUGUGUCCUGCACACAAAAGAUGUUGGAGGAGAAAGAAGGGAGAGUCUGGUCCUUCCUGACUUCAGUGGGGCAGGUCUGAUGCUGGAAUCCCUGCCUUCCAGGUCAGGCCUCUCAUUAUAGGGUAGUAACAGACCCACACAAACCCUUUUACUCAGGCGCUAUACUGACGACUUAAAUCAAUUAAGUAUCAAUUUUUAACCUGUGAUCCAGAAAGCCCACUUCCAGGAAUUUAUCUUAAGGAUGUGAUGAAACACUUGCUCAGUGAUUCACUGAUGAUUAUAAUCAGCCUGAGCAUUGUUCUUAACAGGAAAAAUAAGCUUAAAACAAACAUUCAUUAUUAGAAUGUGGGUUAAAUGUAUUAUAUAUUUACAUAUAGAUAAUGAGACAGGGCGAUAUUAGUCGGCUAUUAAUACUGUCAAGGAUUUGGAGAACCACAGAAAAUACUGAUGAAAUAUUAUCACAUGGAAAAAAAGGGGUCACAAAGCCCAAUGUUUAUUGUUUCCCUUCGUACAGAACAGACACAUGUGCGCAGAGACGCAGAGAGCAAGACACAAAAGAUGCAAAACCAAAGUCCUAAUGGCAGUUAUGUGUGGAUCAUGGGGGUAUGGACAUUUUUUUCGUUAUCUUAGUUCCUCCUCUUUGUCUGUCUUAAUUUUUCUACAGUGAACAUAUGCUUCUUUCUUUGUAUUUUCCACAGAGCCUGGAAUGGGCUUGGACCCCAGUAGGAAUUCAACUAACGCAAAGUUCAGGGCAUGGGGUUGAUGAGGAGGCGGACCCGCCCUCUCCUUUCAGGUCCUUCCUAUCACUCCUCUCUCCAACUGCCCAAACGCACCUGAAGUCAAAGUGCUCAGAAAGAAGGUGCCUCAUUCCGAGGGUUUAGGUACUCUGGAUAAUUUCCGGAAAUCUGGAUUCUUCUCCACCUUUACCCUUACCUGGCUCCACCUGUUCCCACCCACCCAUCAUCUUAGGGAAGGUGAAUGUGGCAGUGGGAAGGGGAGGCACCAGGGAUGGGGAGGGGAUGUUGAGCUAUUGAGCUCACAGGACAGAAAAAGGUGCAGAAAGAACACAGUCUCCGAGCCAAGCCUGGUUUAAGAGCCACCAAGAACCACAUCAUUCUUCUCCCCCUUCCUUCUUUGCUUCAUACCAAGAAUGGGAUGCAUAUUAUGGAGGCAUAACAGCAUCCAUAAUAUGCCAGGGAGUAAGAUGGAUGCGCUAUAGUUCCCGCUCUUAAUUAGCUUGCCAUCUAGAAGCAGAGAAACCAAAAAAAAAAAAAAAUCAUUAAAAUUCAGUACUUUCGCUGCAAGAAUAAACUAGUGUACCAAGAAUAGUAAUGGCAAAACAAGGAGGGAAUAGUUGAUCAUUUUGGAUGCAGUUGAGUCAGGAAUGGAUCCCAGAGAAGGUAACACGGGAAGUGGGUUUGUAAGUCUGUGCUCCAUGCAGAGAAGGCUGGGGGGUGGGAGGGUGGCGUGAGAAAGCCCAAGGCACCGGGGACUCCUAGAUGACAGUAUCGCUCACACAUUCAGUUCCUGGGGCAGAAUAUUUUAACUGCCUCCUCUAUAAGCUUCUUUUUCGUGAUAAUCAUGAAAUUAAAAUGAAUAACCAUAGAGGCCAGAGCAGAGAGGUGGAACGUGCUGUUUCCCUUGCCUUAGACUCUGCACACAUCACCAUAUGGUGAUAAAAUCAACAGGCACGUUCUAACAAAAGCAAACAUUCGCCAAAGGUACCAUCGGGGCAACUACGACUUUGUAUGACACGUGUGAAUUUGUUGAUUCAUUCCUUUGCUUAAAGCAAUUAACAAUCACAAAGAAAUCUUCGUUUGAGAGAAAUGAUUGGAUUCAGUACAAUAUCUCACGCACAAGCUCAAAUCUGCUCUUCCGAGACAGAAAUGUAUUUCCCAGCCUACACGGUUUCACCUGCUGAAAUUUUACUAAAACACUAAUUAUAACGUCCAGGUGUCCACAUGGAAUGAGGGAAGUGAAAUAACUGGAGGUAUAUUCCUCUGCCUCUCUCAUCCCUGGUUAUCACUGUUUAUCUGAAUCUACUAUUUAGAUAUAAAAAUAUGCCAUGUUCCAGGGGCUGGAAUGAGUCCAUGUCCAAAGUGAGCCGGAAUGAGCCUGUUUCCAGCUCGCUCUUACACAAAGGCGGCUACCUGAAGUCUACACAGGCUGGAAGCUGACUGCAUCCCUGCCAGUUCUCUGCCUUCACUUCCAGGAUAACGCUGUAUUUGUUAACAAACAAGUAAUAAAAAUCUGCUCAGUUGAAACUUACGCUGCUAAAACCCAACCGUAACCACAGCAACUGUUCAAAUUUAUACCAACCAAAGAACGUUUUCUGGGAGGUCUGUUUUAUCACUGACUUUGCUUAGAAUUGUCAGGACAAGAGGACAAUAAACAGACACAAUUUCAGUCCGUUUUAGUACAGUGUUUAAGAUGCAUCCGUUACCACUUGGGCCCAGGGCAGGUGGGCCCCCUGCCCGGUCCUGGCAUAAGGACUUCAUUUCAGCUGGAAAUUCUGAUUAGAGAGGAAGAGAGACAGAGGGGCCUUUCUAUCCAGCAGCCUAUCAUCUGUCCCUCCAUCUACCCAUCCAUCACAUCUGUCAUCUGUCUAUCCAUCCAUCCAGCCAUCCUCCCACCAAUCCAUCCACCUACCCAAUUAUCUACCUGUCUGUCCAUCUAUCUUCUAUCUGACUGUCUGUCUUUCUAUCAUCUGAGGAAUGACAACAGGUAGACAGAGCCCAG
Molecule: long non-coding RNA, 4240 nt
Filed under: Sus scrofa (pig)
Lineage: Eukaryota; Metazoa; Chordata; Mammalia; Artiodactyla; Suidae
Description: lncRNA (ENSSSCG00065072213.1)
Source: RNAcentral